Molecule: ribosomal RNA, 439 nt
Filed under: uncultured bacterium
Lineage: Bacteria
Description: partial 16S ribosomal RNA
Rfam family: Bacterial small subunit ribosomal RNA
Source: RNAcentral
CUACGGGCCGCACCAGUGAGGAAUAUUGCACAAUGGGGGGAACCCUGAUGCAGCAGCGCCGCGUGGAGGAUGACGCAUUUCGGUGUGUAAACUCCUUUUAUAUGUCAAGGAAAUGACGGUAGCAUAUGAAUAAGCACCGGCUAACUCCGUGCCAGCAGCCGCGGUAAUACGGAGGGUGCAAGCGUUACUCGGAAUCACUGGGCGUAAAGGACGCGUAGGCGGGUUGGAAAGUCAGGUGUGAAAUCCUACAGCUUAACUGUAGAACUGCACUUGAAACUUCUAAUCUAGAGUAUGGGAGGGGGAGAUGGAAUUAGUGGUGUAGGGGUAAAAUCCGUAGAUAUCACUAGGAAUACCUAAAGCGAAGGCGAUCUCCUGGAACAUUACUGACGCUAAGGCGUGAAAGCGUGGGGAUCAAACAGGAUUAGAUACCCCCGUAGUC